This 76-nucleotide transfer RNA is filed under the name Janthinobacterium lividum. RNAcentral's name for it is "tRNA-Thr". It matches the Rfam family "tRNA". Rfam says of the family: Transfer RNA (tRNA) molecules are approximately 80 nucleotides in length. RNAcentral also lists the same sequence under 6 other names. The record is from RNAcentral. Lineage: Bacteria; Pseudomonadati; Pseudomonadota; Betaproteobacteria; Burkholderiales; Oxalobacteraceae.
GCCGUUGUAGCUCAGUUGGUAGAGCAAUUCACUCGUAACGAAUAGGUCGCCAGUUCGAUUCCGGCCAACGGCACCA